This 492-nucleotide ribosomal RNA is filed under the name uncultured bacterium. RNAcentral's name for it is "partial 16S ribosomal RNA". It matches the Rfam family "Bacterial small subunit ribosomal RNA", at positions 29 to 507 of the family's 1533-position model. The record is from RNAcentral.
AGCGAACGCUGGCGGCAGGCCUAACACAUGCAAGUCGAACGGCAGCACAGUAAGAGCUUGCUCUUACGGGUGGCGAGUGGCGGACGGGUGAGGAAUACACCGGAAUCUACUUUUUAGCUGGGGAUAACGUAGGGAAACUUACGCUAAUACCGCAUACGACCCACGUGUGAAAGCAGGGGAUCUUUGGACCUUGCGCGAGUGAAUGAGCCGAUGUCGGAUUAGCUAGUUGGCGGGGUAAAGGCCCACCAAGGCGACGGUCGGUAGCUGGUAUGAGAGGAAGAUCAGGCAGAUGGGAGGUGAGGAACAGUCCAGACUCCGACGGGAGGCAGCAGUGGCGAAUAUUGGACGAUGGAGGCGAGCCUAAUCCAGCCAGACCGCGUGGGUGAUGAAGGCCCUCGGGUUGUAAAACGCUGUUGUUCGGAAAGAAAAGCAGCAGUUUAAUACCCCACUAUUCUGACGGUACCCAGAGAAUAAGCACCGGCUAACUUCGUG